AGAGAGAGAGCGGGCAGCCCCCAGACUCAGUCCUGUGGAGGCCAGUAGGCUGACUGGCUGGCUGCCCGUGUAAUAGGAUUACUGCCUGCCCUCCCUCCUGUCCCCCAGUAGCACAAUGACCUCGCCGUGCUCCCCUAUAGACUACCUACCAGUUCAUCCGCCGUGCGACCAGGGUCGCCCUCACACACAUUAGCAAGCAUGGAUCUCCUCAGAUCUGGCAGUGUUCCGACAGAUCUGAUUCUGCGCUGAGCUCAGCUCAUCUCAGCUGGCUGGACAGAGACAAGCUGGACAGAGACAGAGCUGCAAGAGCAACAUUGGCAUCAGUGCGUGAGAGACGACUAGCCUGCGAACGACAGAAUCAUCGGACUGCUGACAUAACAACUGUACUUGCUGGCUGCUACUAGCUGACAAGAUUAAAGCCCGGCCCCCAAAUCCCACGGCCACUGCAGCCUGGCACCCAGCUCCCACCAACUCAGCCAAGCAGUAAAAGACAAUUUAGGACUUCUGCUACUGAUGCCAAACUCUACCCCAGGCCUGGAACUGGACAAAAAAAGAAAGGGACAGAUUCCAAAAGGCGAGGAAAAGGAUGCCAACAGAAGCACAAUUAGCUCAUCUACUCAAUAAUCUCCACACAGUGAGUACCAGUAGG
Long non-coding RNA from Alosa sapidissima (American shad), 649 nucleotides. RefSeq lists it as uncharacterized. NCBI's taxonomy places the organism in Eukaryota, Metazoa, Chordata, Actinopteri, Clupeiformes, Clupeidae. The transcript is spliced from 5 exons. The record is from RefSeq and is a predicted model, not a curated record.